This is a small nucleolar RNA of Nematolebias whitei (Rio pearlfish), 151 nucleotides long. The record is from RefSeq and is a predicted model, not a curated record. NCBI's taxonomy places the organism in Eukaryota, Metazoa, Chordata, Actinopteri, Cyprinodontiformes, Rivulidae.
CUUCAGUGAUGAGACGAUGACGAGUCGGAACAGGUCUCGGUCUGGUGCCGGUGGUUCGCCGGUUCAGACCCACGUUCUGUGGUUCUGCUCUGGUUCAUCGGACCAGCGAGGCCUUUUCAGUUGAAGACAUCGAGGCAUUUGUCUGAGAAGG